CCCAGCGCUAACGCGCUGGGCUCAAUAAUUUUGUCCCUGCGGGACU
This 46-nucleotide small RNA is filed under the name Acidobacteria bacterium SCGC AG-212-P17. RNAcentral's name for it is "Acido-Lenti-1 RNA". It matches the Rfam family "Acido-Lenti-1 RNA". The record is from Rfam by way of RNAcentral. Lineage: Bacteria; Pseudomonadati; Acidobacteriota.